CCCGUUUUCUCUGCCUUUUGGCUGAGAUCAAGUGUAGUAUCUGUUCUUAUCAGUUUAAUAUCUGAUACGUCCCCCAUCGGGGGACUACAUAUUAAAUGGAUUUUUCGAACAGGGAGUCGGAAAUGGGGCUUGCUCCGUCCGCUCCACGCAUCGACCCGGUAUUGCAGUACCUCCGGGAACGGUGCAACACUU
This is a non-coding RNA of Salmo salar (Atlantic salmon), 192 nucleotides long. The record is from Rfam. NCBI's taxonomy places the organism in Eukaryota, Metazoa, Chordata, Actinopteri, Salmoniformes, Salmonidae.